Molecule: ribosomal RNA, 481 nt
Filed under: uncultured bacterium
Lineage: Bacteria
Description: partial 16S ribosomal RNA
Rfam family: Bacterial small subunit ribosomal RNA
Source: RNAcentral
GAUGAACGCUGGCGGCGUGCUUAACACAUGCAAGUCGAACGAAGCACUUUAUUUGAUUUCCCUCGGGACUGAUUAUUUUGUGACUGAGUGGCGGACGGGUGAGUAACGCGUGGGUAACCUGCCUUGUACAGGGGGAUAACAGUUGGAAACGGCUGCUAAUACCGCAUAAGCGCACGGCAUCGCAUGAUGCAGUGUGAAAAACUCCGGUGGUAUAAGAUGGACCCGCGUUGGAUUAGCUAGUUGGUGAGGUAACGGCCCACCAAGGCGACGAUCCAUAGCCGACCUGAGAGGGUGACCGGCCACAUUGGGACUGAGACACGGCCCAAACUCCUACGGGAGGCAGCAGUGGGGAAUAUUGCACAAUGGGCGAAAGCCUGAUGCAGCGACGCCGCGUGAGCGAAGAAGUAUUUCGGUAUGUAAAGCUCUAUCAGCAGGGAAGAUAAUGACGGUACCUGACUAAGAAGCACCGGCUAAAUACGUG